This 3216-nucleotide long non-coding RNA is filed under the name Olea europaea (common olive). RNAcentral describes it as "long non-coding RNA (OEUR_LNC008925)". The record is from RNAcentral. Lineage: Eukaryota; Viridiplantae; Streptophyta; Magnoliopsida; Lamiales; Oleaceae.
CAUUUGACUCCAAUCAAGAAGGGUGUCUGCCAGUGUUAGUUUCUUUAGCUUUGGUGGAAAUUUAUACCUUUGGGGAAGGCCAGCUAGUUUGCCUUCCGAAGGAGGCAAAGGAAAUACAUCAUUUAAUAGCUUCAAAUUUUCAAGGUAAUCCAAUUUUCCCAGGCUAUCAAACAAACUCGACACACCUUUGGAUUCCAAAAGUUUAGCUAAUUUGCCACGAAUACCCAAUUUCUUUAGGUUUGGAGCUCUGGCAAAUACAUCUUCUGUACAACUUUCAGGUGAGAUUGUAGAAAUUGUUUUUAGGUUAGCAUUUAUCAGGGAAUCAUCUUUACUUUUUCUUGAUUUAGCAAGAGGACCUGGUAAAGAUGUGGACGCGUUUGUUUUUAGAUGCCUCAAUUGAAUCAUCUUCCAUAUAUCUCCUUUGAUUUCAAGGGUUCGUUCUGAAGUCUCAACUAUAAGAGUUUGCAUGUUCCAAAGGCUAGAAAUGGGAGAAGGAAGGAUCUUGAAAUUGCUGGACAGAACAAGAUACCUCAAAUGAACGAGUUGAGCUAGAUCAGUAGGAAAACGAGUGAAAAAAAUGGGUUUAGCAUCUAAAACCCUGAGCAAUUUAAAUGCUCCAGGGAUGGAGGAAGUGUGUUCAGCUUGCAGAAUAAUUUCUUCAGAAGAGAAACACAAGAAAGACCGAACACGUGGACCAAAUGGUUUUGAAGAGAUAUAACUCCAAACACGGGAAUGAAUGCAAAGGCGACGAUACGAUUCCAAGUAAGGAUUGGAAGACGAAUAGGUAACUUGAUCAAACCGUUUAAUUUCUUGGAAGAAGUUUUCCUCUGCAGCUUGAUUCUUGCAGAACACGUGUAGCAUGUCAUGAACAUGGCAUGUUUUAACUUUUCCAUUUGACCUCCGUUCUCCAACCAUGACUAAAUUCCUGUUGACAAGAUCGUCUAAGUACUCCUCUGCAAUAUCCUCCAAGCUCAUUCCCUCCUUUUGUUGUAUGAAUCCUUCAGCGAUCCAGAGACGAACCAAUUUCCACACUGGGAUUUGGCAAUCUUCUGGAAACAUCCCGAAGUAGAGAAAGCAUGCUCUCAAGUAAUAAGGUAAGUGAUUAAAACUCAAAGUUAUAAAACUGUCCAUACGUUUCUCCUGAUCCAUGGCAAUAUACGCAUCCACACUUUGAGCAACCUUUUCCCACCAAUAACUUUCAGUACCUUUUUCCAAUAGAAUUCCUCCAAUCACCACUAGUGCGAGCGGUAGUCCGCCACAUUCUCUGGCUAUAAGCCUUCCAGGUUGUAUCAACUCCUUAGGGCAUUCCUCUGCACCAAGUGCCUUUCUUUGGAGUAAUAUCCAACUUUCAUCAGAAUUUAGAAAACGCAAAUUAUGGGGCUCCCUGUUGGGGUUGGCAUGCACAGCCACUCUCCUGAUACGACUAGUCAGUAAUAUUUUGCUUCGCUUCUUAUUUCUGGGAAAAGCAAUUUUGAGAUCAUUCCAGGCAUCUUCAGUCCAGACAUCAUCCAUGACAAUUAAAUACUUCCCUUUCUCCAGGAAUUCACGAAGUUCCUUAGCUAUUUUUUCAUCAUUCAUCUUAUACAUCUCAUCACUUGGCUUAGCAAAAUGACUCCAAAUAUUGAGAAACACUUCCUUUCUAUUAUAUUCUUGAGAAACAUAAACCCAUGCUCGGUUAUAGAAUUCAUAUUCAAUUUUAGGAUCACGAUAUAUCAUUUUUGCCAGUGUUGUCUUUCCAAGGCCAGGCAUGCCAAUAAUUGAUAUAACUUCGAGUUCAUCAGGUCCUCCCAUGAGUAGAUUAGUAACAGUUUUUGCCUCAUCUUCAAAUCCCACCACAUUGUCUUCCUCUACAAUGGGAGCCUAUAUUAUAGUGAAAAAUGUUUAUUUCAGAAUCACAAAUAAUUAAAGAAUUGAUUUAAGGUUGUUCAUCUAAUUCUACUCAAUAUCUGAAAUAUCUAAAAGAUGAGUUCCUACCUUUUAGCUGGUGUCAUUUGAGAAUUUCAGAAAGUUCUCAGUUAUACAUUUCGGAAAAAUUUUACGCACUAGACUACAAAUAAGUUUCAAUAGUAUGCAAGAUAAUAGCAAGAAAACUCCUGCCUGCAGAACUUGUUAUCUUGGACUUCUACUUCGUACAACAGAAUUCAGAAUCACAUUAAGGAAUAUGAUUCAUGUCCAUACUUAGCGAUGGAGCAUGUAAAAAGAUAAGUUUUAUGUACAUUCAGAAAAAAGAAACUUGGAAAUCCUAACAAUUGUUUGACAUACCAGUUUAGUAAUAAAAAGGAAAGUUUUUUAUGGUGCACCAAUUUUGAAGAAUUAAUUCAAUCUGGAUCUUCAUAUAAAAUUUUGCUCCUUGAGUUCUCAAUGGUAGUACAAUUAUGAAGCCAGGAGAGUAACUAGAUUAAAAAAUGUUUUACCUGUGAAGGAAGCAUUUUUGAGCUCGAAGGAAUGGAGGUCAUUGAUCUGGAGGAUAAACGGAGAGCUUAAAUACAAUGCCUUUGUUGCCUUGCUUCUCAGCCUCAUCUUUCAUCGUUUUCUUAUACUGCUGGAUUUUCCGGGCAGAAGCAGCAGCUGAUUUGGUGGUACAGUACAAGUCAAUUAUCUGGAGGCUUAAAACAUCUGCAAGGCUGACUGGGACUGCUUCGAGGCUAGUGCAGUGUUUAAGAUAAAGACUCCUGAGUCUUGGGAAGUGAUGAGUCAAAGCAUGCCAAUGAACUAAAUCUGUCCUUCCAAUAAACAAGACUUUGAGAGCACGGAAACCUCCAUCCUCCGGCUGCCACCACUCUCCCUUAAAUGCAUUGUCUUUCAACUUUAGGAUCUCAAGGCUUUCCAACAUUCCCAAUGUAGCCAUUUGACUCCAAUCAAGAAGGGUGUCUGCCAGUGUUAGUUUCUUUAGCUUUGGUGGAAAUUUAUACCUUUGGGGAAGGCCAGCUAGUUUGCCUUCCGAAGGAGGCAAAGGAAAUACAUCAUUUAAUAGCUUCAAAUUUUCAAGGUAAUCCAAUUUUCCCAGGCUAUCAAACAAACUCGACACACCUUUGGGUUCCAAAAGUUUAGCUAAUUUGCCACGAAUACCCAAUUUCUUUAGGUUUGGAGCUCUGGCAAAUACAUCUUCUGUACAACUUUCAGGUGAGAUUGUAGAAAUUGUUUUUAGGUUAGCAUUUAUCAGGGAAUCAUCUUUACUUUUUCUUGAUUUAGCAAGAGGACCAUGUAAAAAUGUGG